RNAcentral lists this transfer RNA (72 nucleotides) under Marmota monax (woodchuck). It matches the Rfam family "tRNA". Rfam says of the family: Transfer RNA (tRNA) molecules are approximately 80 nucleotides in length. The record is from Rfam by way of RNAcentral. Lineage: Eukaryota; Metazoa; Chordata; Mammalia; Rodentia; Sciuridae.
GGGGCUGUAGCUCAGAGGCAGAGUACUUGCCUAGCAUGCAUGAGGCACUGGGUUCAAUCCUCAGCACCACUU